GACGAACGCUGGCGGCGUGCUUAACACAUGCAAGUCGAACGGUAAGGCCCUUCGGGGUACACGAGUGGCGAACGGGUGAGUAACACGUGGGUGAUCUGCCCUGCACCUCGGGAUAAGCCUGGGAAACUGGGUCUAAUACCGGAUAGGACUCCUGGCUUCAUGGUUGGGGGUGGAAAGCUUUUGCGGUGUGGGAUGGGCCCGCGGCCUAUCAGCUUGUUGGUGGGGUAAUGGCCUACCAAGGCGACGACGGGUAGCCGGCCUGGGAGGGUGACCGGUCACACUGGGACUGAGAUACGGCCCAGACUCCUACGGGAGGCAGCAGUGGGGAAUAUUGCACAAUGGGCGCAAGCCUGAUGCAGCGACGCCGCGUGAGGGAUGACGGCCUUCGGGUUGUAAACCUCUUUCAGCUAUGACGAAGCGCAAGUGACGGUAGUAGCAGAAGAAGGACCGGCCAACUACGUGCCAGCAGCCGCAGUAA
Molecule: ribosomal RNA, 478 nt
Filed under: uncultured bacterium
Lineage: Bacteria
Description: partial 16S ribosomal RNA
Rfam family: Bacterial small subunit ribosomal RNA
Source: RNAcentral